Macaca mulatta (Rhesus monkey) is the source of this 1850-nucleotide non-coding RNA. The record is from RefSeq and is a predicted model, not a curated record. NCBI's taxonomy places the organism in Eukaryota, Metazoa, Chordata, Mammalia, Primates, Cercopithecidae.
ACGCGCAGGCGCACGAAGCUGUCCCCAUCGAAAGUCAGCGAGAGCCCUGAGGUUGUGGUCACCACUACGUCGGCGCCGCUCAGGUGUGCGUGCAGCAGCGAAUCCAGAUGGAAGGGCAGAGCCACGAACACGCCGUCCACCUGCGGGCGGGGGUUGGGGGAGCGAUGAGGAAACUGAGGCCUACCAAGUGAACUGCACAGCAUCACCUAGCUCAUAAGGAGGAGAGGCUGGAUUCAAACCCAGUUUGUUUCAGGCCCAGGUGAAGACAAGGAGCCUCGAGCUGCUAACUGUGGUCGUCAGGAUCCCUCCUGUCCUCCCGGGGACCUCAGGGGACCAUCCUGCCACACAUACCCGGACUUUGCCGAUCUCGCCCUUGUGGAUGGAGAUGUUGGUGCCCAGGGCAGCCACAGUGACGACUCUCACGUAGGACACAGCAGGGUUGCCCCGGUUCUCGUUCUUGGUGGUGACGGUGAAGGGCGUCAGGCCCUGGGUGUUGACCCCCGGGCAGCCAGUUGUUGCCAGCACAUAGUUACAGGUGCCCUGGAAGUCAAACGCCCGGCCGUCGAAGGAGUGGUAGUGUGGGUCGCCCCACAGCCAGCACGUGGCCUCAUAGUUGGGCACACACAUGCCCUGGCCACCCUGCUCCUUGCACGUCUCCUGUGGCCGGCAUGUCACACCGUCGCACGGGUCUGGGGACAGAAGAGGGAGGACCUUGAGAGGCUGCCCAUUGUAAAGGAUGGCCGCUGCCUCCACAUCUACCCCAGUCUGUGCCAGGGAUCUGAGGGUUACCGCAGGCAAGACCAGAUUCCAGAGUCCUCAUGUCGAGGACCCAGGUCCUAUAGUUUGCUUUUGUAUUUGGUUUUGUUUUGUUGGUUUUUUGAGAUGGAGUCUUUCUCUGUCACCCAGGCUGGAGAGCAGUGGUGCAAUCUCGGCUCACUGCAACCUCUGCCUCCCGGGCUCUAGUGAUUCUCCUGACUCAGCCUCCUGAGUAGCUGGGAUUACAGGUGCCCGCCACCAUGCUUGGCUGAUUUUUGUAUUUUUAGUAGAGACAGAGUUUGAUCAUGUUUUCCAGGCUGGUCUCGAGCUCCUGACAUCAAGUGAUCAGCCAACCUUGGCCUCCCAGAGUGCUGGGAUUACAGGCAUGAGCCACCACGCCCAGCCUGCUAUUUUCAAGACCAGCCCCUGGGAGUCCCACACGUCUGACACUGUGGCCCCAUGGUGGACUGUGUCUAAGUCUCAGGUGUCAAAGUUCCCAUACGUGAGACCCGGGCCCCAGAGGUCCCUACAGCCAAGACCCCGGCCCUAGAGUCCCCCUACCUCUGAGACUGAGGCCCUGCCAUUUGCUGUGUGAGACUGAGGUUGUGGAGUCCAUGCACCUAAGACCAAGGCUCUGGGUCUGUGUUUACGAUGUAGUUUCCAUGGGGCCCUUGCUUGAGAUUGUAGCCUGUUCUUGUAUUUUAAGUUUUAUAGGAACCUCACCCUCUUCACUUACAUAGUCUACGGCUGCUUUCACGCCACCAUGGCAGAGUGAGUAGCUGUGAUCGAGAAGGCAUAGCCUACAAGCUUAAACAUUUACCAUCUAGCCCUUUAGAGAAAAGGUGCACUUGACCCACGUUGAGAUCUGUGCCCCAGGGGUCCUUGUGUCUGCAAUGCCUGCCCUGAGAGCAUUCAUGUCUGAGAUCCCAGCACUACAGUUCUCUCUGUUCAAGGCCUGGGCCCCAGGCCAGGUGUGGUGGCUCAGGCCUGUAAUACCAGCACUUCAAGAGGCUGAGGUGGGAGGAUCGCUUGAUCCCUGGAGUUGGAGACCAGCCUGGGCAGCAUAGGAAGACCCCAUUUCUACAAAAAAGAAA